RNAcentral lists this long non-coding RNA (1015 nucleotides) under Canis lupus dingo (dingo). RNAcentral's name for it is "lncRNA (ENSCAFG00020021944.1)". The record is from RNAcentral. Lineage: Eukaryota; Metazoa; Chordata; Mammalia; Carnivora; Canidae.
CAGGGCCCAGCAAGGGGAGACAGAAAGGAGACCUGCCUGCCCUGUGCCCACACGACGGGACCCACACGACACGGCCCCGACCCUGGCAUGGGGCUGCCACUUGGCUACUUUCACAGGAAAGCGGCACCCGGUGUUUUUUGCCUCCUGCAGAAGGAGCCCGGGAGCCUUGCAGGAGCCUGAAACCAGGGCACCGCUGUGUCACAGCCCGUCAUUUCCUGGCCAGUGCGCGGUGGCUCUGCGGCCCCUCCUGGAUCCCCUGCAAAGCUGUGGCCACGCAGACCUUCUCCCUCGUCUUUCUCUGGCUCCCGGUCACCGCCAGCCCUUCCCACAAGCUGCUUCUUGCGUUUGGAGGAUCUUUGCUUUCACUGACGCCAGUCUGGCUUUGGGUCUCUGCCCUAAUGCUCUACGUGUAACUGUAUGUAGAUUCUUUUUCUUAAAGACGGUCCCACAAAACCCGCAUCUCUCCCCAGUGGUGGGAAAAUGUCCCCUGACACUCUUCCCCGGUUGCCGGGUCAGCUGAGUAGGUCCCCCGUUAGGUCAUUCAUUCAUUCAACACAUACAUACUGAGCAGCUCUUCUGUACCGGGCACUGUUCUAGGCACUGGAGACAGACCAAUGGACAAGACAGACAAAAAUGCCUGCCCCGUGGACCUACGAUCCCCCGGGGGUACAGGCAAUCGACAGAAAAAUAAGGAAUAUUCGAGUAAUAAUAACUGACGAAUGUCGGCUUGAGGUGUGACGAGAGCUGCAGGGGAAAAUGAGCGGGGAGCGUGGGGCUGUAAUUUUUAAUGGAACAAGGUAGGAGGUGGACACCUGGGGAUGAGCGGUCUAGGUAAAGGGAAUGGCAUGUGCAAAGGCCCUGAGGCAGAGGCUCACCUGGGAGGGCUCAGCACUUCUCUGUGGUGUUUACCAGCCAGAAAUUAAACAAUCAUUCCGGUGAUGAUUUACACACUUUCUGGCAUACCCACUAGGGUCUUGUAUUCGGUGCUUGUUCACUAAAUAAAUGGAGAAAGGAC